CCAAGUCAAUUGGUAACAGCUUGU
This 24-nucleotide non-coding RNA is filed under the name Arabidopsis thaliana (thale cress). Lineage: Eukaryota; Viridiplantae; Streptophyta; Magnoliopsida; Brassicales; Brassicaceae. The record is from RNAcentral.